This 301-nucleotide ribosomal RNA is filed under the name uncultured bacterium. Its description in RNAcentral is "partial 16S ribosomal RNA". It matches the Rfam family "Bacterial small subunit ribosomal RNA", at positions 509 to 807 of the family's 1533-position model. The record is from RNAcentral.
CAGCCGCCGCGAUAAUACAGAGGGUGCGAGCGUUAAUCGGAUUUACUGGGCGUAAAGCGUGCGUAGGCGGCUUCUUAAGUCGGAUGUGAAAUCCCUGAGCUUAACUUAGGAAUUGCAUUCGAUACUGGGAAGCUAGAGUAUGGGAGAGGAUGGUAGAAUUCCAGGUGUAGCGGUGAAAUGCGUAGAGAUCUGGAGGAAUACCGAUGGCGAAGGCAGCCAUCUGGCCUAAUACUGACGCUGAGGUACGAAAGCAUGGGGAGCAAACAGGAUUAGAUACCCCGGUAGUCCCUGUCUCUUAUAC